UGGGGAAUUUUUCGCAAUGGGGGAAACCCUGACGAAGCAACGCCGCGUGGAGGAUGAAGGCCUUCGGGUCGUAAACUCCUGUCGACUGGGAAGAAAGCGUCUUGACCCAAUACGUCGAGAUGUUGACUGUACCGGUGGAGGAAGCCACGGCUAACUCUGUGCCAGCAGCCGCGGUAAUACAGAGGUGGCAAGCGUUGUUCGGAAUUACUGGGCGUAAAGGGCGCGUAGGCGGUUUGUCAAGUCCCGUGUGAAAGCCCUCGGCUCAACCGAGGAACGGCGCGGGAAACUAGCAGGCUUGAGUUCGGGAGAGGGAAGCGGAAUUCCGGGUGUAGCGGUGAAAUGCGCAGAUAUCCGGAGGAACACCGGUGGCGAAGGCGGCUUCCUGGACCGACACUGACGCUGAGGCGCGAAAGCUAGGGGAGCAAACGGG
RNAcentral lists this ribosomal RNA (430 nucleotides) under uncultured bacterium. Its description in RNAcentral is "bacterial SSU rRNA". It matches the Rfam family "Bacterial small subunit ribosomal RNA", at positions 355 to 776 of the family's 1533-position model. The record is from RNAcentral.